GAGUAACAAUUACAAGGAUUUGAUAAUGGAAAAUGAGUAAAACAGAAUAACAAACAAAGUAACAAACUAGCAGAGAGAUUCUACUAGCCCCAAAGCACUAAGUGCUCCAAAUCACUAACAAGUGAUUCCAUACAAAUAACAGAAUUCCCAGAUCCUUAUUCUAUCUCACUGACACCACUUAUAUAGCUAUAAACCCAUGCACAUCAUGAAUCACUUGGCCACGUCAUUAUUCUCUAUGAUUUUCCCUUGCUUUCUCUAAACAUCUCUUUUGGUUUGGGCCCAAGGUCAAGGCCCACUUUAUGAUCCAUGUUUCUAUCACAGACUUAAAACAAAAAUACG
RNAcentral lists this long non-coding RNA (339 nucleotides) under Trifolium pratense (red clover). Its description in RNAcentral is "long non-coding RNA (TPRA_LNC010881)". Lineage: Eukaryota; Viridiplantae; Streptophyta; Magnoliopsida; Fabales; Fabaceae. The record is from RNAcentral.